Molecule: non-coding RNA, 75 nt
Organism: Myotis lucifugus (little brown bat)
Lineage: Eukaryota; Metazoa; Chordata; Mammalia; Chiroptera; Vespertilionidae
Source: Rfam
AGCAGCUCUUGGGUGACACACCCCGGAAUAAGGCUCCCUCCUCUCUGGUUCUGAGUGUGUCACCUGAGAACUGCA